ACAACAUCGUCUUUCAUUGUGAGGUCAUUUAGAGAAUCAAUUCAAAACCAGGAGAGAUCUAUAUCACAUUGUUCUGUUUAAAUGUUCUUUUUUAGGUGGCCUCUUGCACAAGUGUGUGCGUGUGUGUGUGUACAUGUGUGUGAGUGUGCUUGUGCAUGUGAGUGUGCAUAUGCGCGUGUGUGAGUGUGAGUGUGCGUGUGUGAGUGUGAGUGUGAGUGUGCGUGUGCGUGUGCGUGUGUGUGUGUGUCUGUGUGUGUGUGUGUGUGUGUGUACAUGUGAACAUGUGUACAUGUGUGUGUGUGUGAGUGUGUGUGAGUGUGCUUGUGCAUGUGCAUGUGUGUGUGCAUGUGUGUGUGCGUGUGCGUGUGUGCAUGUGCAUGUCUUUAUGCAUGUGUGUAUGAGUGUGUGUGCAUGUGUGUGAGUGUGUGAAAGGAAGGAAAAGGAAGGGUUCAGGUGGUAGAGAGAGAGAGGGAGGAGGAGAGACAUGGAGAGGAAAGGAGAGGUUCAGGUGGUAGAGAGAGAGAGGGAGGGGGAGAGACGGAGAGGAAAGGAGGACAGGAAAGGAGGGGUUCAGGUGGUAGCGAGAGAGAGGGAGGAGGGAGAGACAAGAAGAGGAAAGGAGAGGUUCAGGUGGUAGAGAGAGAGAGGGAGGGGGAGAGACGGAGAGGAAAGGAGGACAGGAAAGGAGGGGUUCAGGUGGUAGCGAGAGAGAGGGAGGAGGGAGAGACAAGAAGAGGAAAGGAGGGGUUUAGGUGGUAGAGGGAGAGAGAGGAGGGAGAAGGAGGGAUGGGAAAGAGGGAUGGGAU
Molecule: long non-coding RNA, 806 nt
Filed under: Salmo salar (Atlantic salmon)
Lineage: Eukaryota; Metazoa; Chordata; Actinopteri; Salmoniformes; Salmonidae
Description: lncRNA (ENSSSAG00000083388.1, ENSSSAG00000120641.1)
Source: RNAcentral